This 913-nucleotide long non-coding RNA is filed under the name Trifolium pratense (red clover). Its description in RNAcentral is "long non-coding RNA (TPRA_LNC013564)". The record is from RNAcentral. Lineage: Eukaryota; Viridiplantae; Streptophyta; Magnoliopsida; Fabales; Fabaceae.
CAAAACAGAGGUUAGAUAACAUAACCAUGCAUAGUGACUAAUAUAAGGUAUAUCAGACACCUAAAUAAAUAAAGCAAAUGAAUACAAUUCAUUUCAUACACUUAUUCAGCAUGAUAAACAUAUAUAAAUAUGUAACCGACAACUCAGACAUAUAACAAAUAUGUUCAGACAAGUAUCAGAUAUAAAGGUAAACAUAACAAUGUCAAUUACCAAUUAUAUAUAAAGUAAGAAUGUCACAUAAUUCUUAAUGCAAUUCUAAUGUCAAAAUAGAUGUAAUGUCCCCUAGACAUAUCUAUAUGCACGUGGUACCCAUCAUCAUAUUUUUGGAAAACUUAUUCCAAGUGUUUAGAUCAUCGUCUCUAAACACACGUAAUCUAGAUCAUCGUCUCUAGACUACACACCAUCAAGACACAACAAAUGGAUGCAUGAANNNNNNNCCAAACAUUCUAAAUCACCACAUUUAGAAUACAACAUCAUUAAUAAUUUGCUAUUAAGCAACAACUUCAUCCCACACCUGUAAAUACAUUCACAUCAUAAAUAUAUUCACAUAAAGUAUAUAACAUCAUAUACUAACAUCAUCAUUUAAUUCCUAACUCGUUUUAUUUCACAAAACUCAUUUAUUUUCAAAAUAAUGCUACUAACAUAAGCACACACUAAUAAGUGUACAUCUUUUCGGAAAACUAUUCCCGGAAUCGGAAUCUACGCGAAAAACUGAGCAAAAUAGGUUCUGACCAAAAAAGUAGACAAAAAGUCAACGGUCAGAGUCAACAGGUAGCGUCGGCCAUAGCGUCAGCCAGAAUGCGUCGCAAAACACUAUUCAUGCUGCAGAAUUCUGCAUAAACGUGUUUUUGGCUCGGAUUUGGCUCCAAAAGCACUUAUAAGCCUCGAAAAUCACUUAUUUAAGCCUAGAAAU